RNAcentral lists this ribosomal RNA (629 nucleotides) under uncultured bacterium. Its description in RNAcentral is "bacterial SSU rRNA". It matches the Rfam family "Bacterial small subunit ribosomal RNA", at positions 164 to 809 of the family's 1533-position model. The record is from RNAcentral.
UAAUACCUGGUAUUCCGGAAGCGGCGCAUGCCCCAUCCGGGAAAGCUCUCGCGGCGGGGGAUGGGGUCGCGGCCCAUCAGGUAGACGGCGGGGCAACGGCCCACCGUGCCGACGACGGGUAGCCGGGUUGAGAGACCGACCGGCCACAUUGGGACUGAGAUACGGCCCAGACUCCUACGGGAGGCAGCAGUGGGGAAUUUUGCGCAAUGGGGGCAACCCUGACGCAGCAACGCCGCGUGCGGGACGAAGGCGUCCGCGUCGUAAACCGCUUUCAGCGGGGAACACCUAAACGAGGGUACCCGCAGAAGAAGCCCCGGCUAAAUACGUGCCAGCAGCCGCGGUAAUACGUAUGGGGCGAGCGUUAUCCGGAUUCAUUGGGCGUAAAGCGCGCGUAGGCGGAGCGCUAAGCGGGACCUCUAACCCGAGGGCUCAACCCCCGGCCGGGUCCUGAACUGGCGCUCUCGAGUGCGGUAGGGGAGAGCGGAAUUCCCGGUGUAGCGGUGGAAUGCGCAGAUAUCGGGAAGAACACCGACGGCGAAGGCAGCUCUCUGGGCCGAAACUGACGCUGAGGCGCGAAAGCUGGGGGAGCGAACAGGAUUAGAUACCCUGGUAGUCCCAGCCGUAAACGA